Molecule: ribosomal RNA, 445 nt
Filed under: uncultured bacterium
Lineage: Bacteria
Description: partial 16S ribosomal RNA
Rfam family: Bacterial small subunit ribosomal RNA
Source: RNAcentral
GUGAGGAAUAUUGGUCAAUGGGCGGAAGCCUGAACCAGCCAUGCCGCGUGAAGGACGAAGGCGUUCUGCGUUGUAAACUUCUUUUAUAAGGGAAGAAACCUGCGAUUUCUAUUGCAGCCGACGGUACCUUAUGAAUAAGCACCGGCUAACUCCGUGCCAGCAGCCGCGGUAAUACGGAGGGUGCAAGCGUUAUCCGGAUUCACUGGGUUUAAAGGGUGUGUAGGCGGGAUUGUAAGUCAGGGGUGAAAUCCUACAGCUUAACUGUAGAACUGCCUUUGAUACUAUAGGUCGUGAAUAUUGUUGAGGUGGGCGGAAUACAUCAUGUAGCGGUGAAAUGCUUAGAUAUGAUGUAGAACACCGAUUGCGAAGGCAGCUCACUAAGCAAAUAUUGACGCUGAGGCACGAAAGCGUGGGGAUCAAACAGGAUUAGAAACCCUUGUAGUCC